Molecule: long non-coding RNA, 730 nt
Filed under: Phoenix dactylifera (date palm)
Lineage: Eukaryota; Viridiplantae; Streptophyta; Magnoliopsida; Arecales; Arecaceae
Description: long non-coding RNA (PDAC_LNC000105)
Source: RNAcentral
GGGGAUUCUAUGCAACUAACGUGAGGAUUUAAAUUAUCAAUAACAGUCCUGCCUUCAACAUUAAUCCAAUAAACAUGAUAACACUCUACAAGCUAAAAACACAACCACAAACCUCCCUUUAUUAUCCACAAGAAAAAAAAGGGACAGACCGAAAGCCAUCAAAUAAAAACAUAAAAACUAGCUGUUUCAGGCCAUAUAACUUCUUCUUCUUCUUCUUCUUCUUCUUCUUCUUCUUCGCAUAUCUUCAAUUAUGCUGAGGAGGUGGUCCUUUCGACACACCCGGGGGAUUCGGACCCCUCACGCUUGCUACAUAAACUCCUCUAUCCUGAGCAUCCAUCAUCAACCAAACCAUCAGCCAACAUACCACUUAGAAUUUAGAUUUAAUAAGAAAUCAUGACAUAUACUUGUAAAACAGAAAAUUAUAGUUAUAUACUAUCUCUUUAAUAAUAAAACUGCUUGCUUAGGAUAACAAUAAAGCAUGCAACACCUGAGAAGAUUGCAGCUGAGAAAAAUCUACCUCUUUAGUUCCUGAAAGAAACAAAUAUAAAACAACUUUCAGAAGAGCAGAAAACAUAAUGGAAAAAAAUAGUUCUUAAAACGAAAGAAAAAGGGGCAUUGAUCUGCGUACCAUUUGCUUGAGAGUUGCCACCGCCACACCUCUUGACCCGUUCCACCAGGUUGAAGAAGCUCUCCUUCAACUGCUGGACGAGCUUGGCCAUGGAGACUCUUG